RNAcentral lists this transfer RNA (71 nucleotides) under Candidatus Pacearchaeota archaeon. RNAcentral describes it as "tRNA-Gly". It matches the Rfam family "tRNA". Rfam says of the family: Transfer RNA (tRNA) molecules are approximately 80 nucleotides in length. Their secondary structure includes four short double-helical elements and three loops (D, anti-codon, and T loops). The record is from RNAcentral. Lineage: Archaea; Nanobdellati.
GCGCUCAUGGUUUAAUGGUAGAAUGUCUCGUUGCCAACGAGGCGACCCGAGUUCGAUUCUCGGUGGGCGCA